GUCUAUGGCCAUGCUACCCUGAACAAACCCGAUCCCUUCUGAUCUUGGAAGCUAAGCAGGGUCAGGCCUGGUUAGUACGCGGAUGGGAGACCACCUAGAAGACCAGGUGCUGUAGGCA
RNAcentral lists this ribosomal RNA (118 nucleotides) under Pteropus alecto (black flying fox). Lineage: Eukaryota; Metazoa; Chordata; Mammalia; Chiroptera; Pteropodidae. The record is from RNAcentral.